Molecule: ribosomal RNA, 269 nt
Filed under: uncultured archaeon
Lineage: Archaea
Description: partial 16S ribosomal RNA
Rfam family: Archaeal small subunit ribosomal RNA
Source: RNAcentral
CUGCAGCUCAAGUGGUGACCGCUAUUAUUGGGCCUAAAACGUUCGUAGCCGGCUGAGUAAAUGCUUGGGUAAAUCGUGCCGCUUAACGGUACGAAUUCCGGGUAGACUGCUCAGCUUGAGACCGGGAGAAGCUAGAGGUACUCCUGGGGUAGAGGUGAAAUUCUGUAAUCCUGGGGGGACCACCAGUGGCGAAGGCGUCUAGCUAGAACGGGUCUGACGGUGAGGGACGAAACCCUGGGGCGCAAACCGGAUUAGAGACCCGAGUAGUC